Long non-coding RNA from Lacerta agilis (Sand lizard), 488 nucleotides. RefSeq lists it as uncharacterized. The record is from RefSeq and is a predicted model, not a curated record. The transcript is spliced from 2 exons. NCBI's taxonomy places the organism in Eukaryota, Metazoa, Chordata, Lepidosauria, Squamata, Lacertidae.
GUUAGGGGAAACGUUUCCAUCUCUCCACGCAGCAGCGACACCUGCAUGUUUCCAGGGCACGUAGGUGCCCACAAAGCAAUCCCAUCAAUGAGGAAAGUUGUUGCGUUUUAUAACCCGAGGGAUGCUAAAUGGAAAAUGGACCAAAAGGCAAUAAAGAAGCAGACUUGGAAGGACAUGGGGAUGCCUCUCCCUGAACCAGUUUAUGAAGAUGGCCUUCUUUGUAGUCGCUUGCAUGCAAAACCCCUGAUUGGGAAAAGGCACAUAUAUUUGCAAGUGGAUGUUGUCUCCUGGGGCUGUCGUUAAUGGAGCAGGGCCAGUCUCUGUGAUUAUCCAAAAUCUAUUUUAAACUAUUAAAGCGCCAAGCUUCUGAUGAAAGAGUAUCGCCCUUCGCACCGAGUGAUGAUUAAAAUUGAUGCUCGGAGGCGUCGGGCAGAGAGUUCUUCAGUAAGAUACACGGAGGGGGGUAAAAACACCCUGCUGUCAAAAAA